This 484-nucleotide ribosomal RNA is filed under the name uncultured bacterium. RNAcentral describes it as "partial 16S ribosomal RNA". It matches the Rfam family "Bacterial small subunit ribosomal RNA", at positions 30 to 507 of the family's 1533-position model. The record is from RNAcentral.
AUUGAACGCUGGCGGCAGGCCUAACACAUGCAAGUCGAGCGGAUGAAGGGAGCUUGCUCCUGGAUUCAGCGGCGGACGGGUGAGUAAUGCCUAGAAAUCUGCCCGGCCGUGGGGGAUAACGUCCGGAAACGGGCGCUAAUACCGCAUACGUCCUGAGGGAGAAAGUGGGGGAUCUUCGGACCUCACGCUACCAGAUGAGCCUAGGUCGGAUUAGCUAGUUGGUGGGGUAAAGGCCUACCAAGGCGACGAUCCGUAACUGGUCUGAGAGGAUGAUCAGUCACACUGGAACUGAGACACGGUCCAGACUCCUACGGGAGGCAGCAGUGGGGAAUAUUGGACAAUGGGCGAAAGCCUGAUCCAGCCAUGCCGCGUGUGUGAAGAAGGUCUUCGGAUUGUAAAGCUCUUUAAGUUGGGAAGAAGAGCAGUAAGUUAAUACCUUGCUGUUUUGACGUUACCAACAGAAUAAGCACCGGCUAACUUCGUG